CAGUCGCCGCGGUAAUACGUAGGUGGCAAGCGUUGUCCGGAAUUAUUGGGCGUAAAGGGCUCGCAGGCGGUUUCUUAAGUCUGAUGUGAAAGCCCCCGGCUCAACCAGGGAGGGUCAUUGGAAACUGGGAAACUUGAGUGCAGAAGAGGAGAGUGGAAUUCCACGUGUAGCGGUGAAAUGCGUAGAGAUGUGGAGGAACACCAGUGGCGAAGGCGACUCUCUGGUCUGUAACUGACGCUGAGGAGCGAAAGCGUGGGGAGCGAACAGGAUUAGAUACCCGCGUAGUCCCUGUCUCUUAUAC
RNAcentral lists this ribosomal RNA (301 nucleotides) under uncultured bacterium. RNAcentral describes it as "partial 16S ribosomal RNA". It matches the Rfam family "Bacterial small subunit ribosomal RNA", at positions 509 to 807 of the family's 1533-position model. The record is from RNAcentral.